Long non-coding RNA from Callithrix jacchus (white-tufted-ear marmoset), 3471 nucleotides. RefSeq lists it as uncharacterized. NCBI's taxonomy places the organism in Eukaryota, Metazoa, Chordata, Mammalia, Primates, Cebidae. The record is from RefSeq and is a predicted model, not a curated record.
GGGUAAGGGGGUUUUUUGUUUUGUUUUUUGAGACAGGGUGUCACUCUGUAGCCCAUACUGUAGUGCAGCGGAGUGAUCAUAGGUCACUACAAACUGGACCUCCUGCUGCCAGGACUGAAGCGAUUUUCCAAUCAGCCUGUAAAGUAGCUGCGACCGCAGGGGCGCACCACCAUGCUCCGCGAAAUAUUUUUGUAGAAAUGGGUUCUCCCUGUGUUUCCCAGGCUGUGAGGUGACGAUUUUCUACGCGCCUUUUUAGUAUCGGUUUCUUAUCGUUGUGCCGCCAGUUGCGAAGACACCUAACACUAAUUGUUUUACACGUGAAGACAACCGAAAGUUGAACUAUAUGAAAUUGCUGAUAUUCAACCAUGUUUGACCUACAAAAAUGACAGCUUCAUUUGGUUCAAGAACUUACAGAGGCUAGCAGAGUAGCCUUCACAAGCCAAGUGACAAGAUAAUCUCUACAGAGACAGGCUGGUAGUACCACAACAACCUCUUAUGCCCACUCUUCUUCGUAUAUUUGCCAUAACUAAAAUAGUUGUCAAUUUCAAAUGUAUGAUCCUAAGAAAUGACUUUUUACCAGCACUUAGUACUCAAAGGCAUUAACUGAGGUUUCAUUAACUUGCAUCUCCUGGAAGAAGCUAAAUUAUUUAUUAACAAAAAGCCCAUUAAAACUAGAAAUCCAAAAAUAGAUGAAGAUGAGAGCUUGCAAGUCAUAGUUUCAAUGACCGACUUUUUGGCCACUGAAAUAGCUGAAGACCACUAAGAACAGCAGGUCCUCGCUGCAGCAGAGAGCCAAGGAGUGAUGCACAGUCCCUCAAGUGCAUUAGUAGGGAAGACGGAACAAGUAACUUUAAUAGAAGGUGGAAUAACAUAGUGCCACAAAAAAGGUACAGAAUUCAAAGGAGAAAGAGCACAUCAGGUUUGAGGAGUCAAGAAGGGGUAGCAUUCAAGAUGAAACUUAAUGAAGUGUCAGGAUUUCAACAAUCUAGACAGAGGAAAGAGCAUAAUGGGAAAACAGAACCACUGGAGAGGAAACAUACUCCGGAAACAGCCAGUGAUGUAGUUUACGGAACACAGGGUACGACGGUAUAGAGAAGUCUACCGUGGGACACCCCAACAUUUCAGCCCCAAAUCAGAAAAAGGUCACCCUCUGAAAUACAAGAUAGUAAACACAGCAUUUAUUUGUUUAUUUUUAUUUUUUAUUUUUUUGAGACAGAGUCUUGCUCUGUCACCCAGGCUGGAGUGCAAUUGCACAAUCUCAGCUCACUGCAACCUCUGCCUCCGGGUUCAAACAAUCCUCAUGCCUCAGCCUCCCGAGUAACUGAGAUUCCAGGCACUUACCACCAUGCCCAGCUAAUUUUUGUAUUUGUAGUAGAGACGGGGUUUCACUAUGUUGGCCAGGUUGGCCUUAAACUCCUGACGUCAAGCGAUCAGCUCAUCUUGGCCUCCCAAAGUGCUGGGAUUACAGGCGUGAGCCACAGUGCCAAUACAGUAAAUACGGCAUUUAAUACGUUAAGGUAGUCGUCCAAGAAAGUCAUUCUGUAUAUGAGAAGACACAAAUGUAUUACUGAGGGUAGGUAAAUUCAGAAGUUCAGUCUGUAUUCCAGUAUGAUCUGGCUGGGCUUGACCAACAUAAAGAAACCCCAUCUCAAAAAAUUAGCCAGGCAUGGUGGCACAUGCCUGUGAUCCCAGCUACUUGGGUGGCUGAGGCAGGUGAAUCACUUGAACCCUGGAAGUGGAGGUUGUGGUGAGCCAAGAUCGCGCCACUGCACUGAAGCUUGGGCAACAAGAGCAAAAUUUUAUCUCAAAAAAAAAAAAAAAAAAAAUCUGGCGGGGGCAUGGUGGCUCAUGCCUGUAAUCCCAGCCCUUUGGGAGGCCGAGGUGGCAGAUCACCUGAGGUCAGGAGUUUGAGACCCGCCUGACCAACAUUGAGAAACCUUGCCUCUACUACAAUUACAAAAUUAGCCAGACCUGGUGGCACAUGCCUAUAAUCCCAGCUACUCAGGAGGCUGAGGCAGGAGCAUCCUUGAACCCAGAGGUGGAGGUUGAGGUGAGCUGAGAUCACGCCACUGCACUCCAGCCUGGUCAACAAGAGCAAAACUCCAUCUCAAAAAAAAAAGUGUUUUUAAACAAACACUUACUCUUUCACUUGCUUUCACUGAACUGCUAUGUAUUCAGUUUACAGGGUGCAAAAUGUCAUUAGCAGACAUUUAUAAAACUUUUAAUGAACACAACUGACAGAAUCAUUACUAUACCUUCUAAUAACUAGAGAAUGACCAUGAAAAUCUUUUGGACCAGAAAAAGGUUUGGCAUAUAUUGUGGAAAUAAACAUUCGAGAACUGUCAAAGACAAUGCCAAAUCAUGCAUUUUCUUUUCACGGCAAAUGAAGACACCUCAAAUGAGAUCCAGAAGAAACAAGAGACGGUGAAAUCAGAUAGAUAUACAUUUCAUACAUUACACCAAAUACAGAGGAAAAAAGUUUCAAUAUAUUUAAAAAAGAAAGGGCUUGAAAAUAUGAGUAAGGAGACCAUUUUUAAAAACAAACAGAUUUUUUAAAAGAACGACAUAGUAAAAAUGAUUGAAAACCUCUUUUAAAAAAACUCAAAUUCAAUAGAUAGUACAAAAAGCAAAUUAUACACACCUGAAGAGAAAAUUGCCAAACAAGAUAAUAUAUCCUUUCGUAGUUUUUCAUUGCCUGUUCACUUACUGAGAGUAGGGUGGUGACAGUCUCACUAGAAACAUAAUUAAAUAGCAACACAGCAUUUAAAGCGGUGUUUUCCAGAGGGAUAGACAGGCCCCAUGUGAAGGCAUAGAAUUGAGUCAGUAGGAAUAAAUGCUAGCUCUUACCGAGUUCUUACUCUAUAACACAGGGUGCUAAGCACAUUACAAAUAUGUCUCCUUUUAUUCUCACACUGACCCUAUACAAAUAUAGAAAGAUAAAAGGUCUACACCAAGGCUCAGCAAGUGACUUGUUCAAGGUCACAAAACUAGUACAUGUAGAAACCAACAUGUAUUCUCCAAGCCUGCCUCCAAGUAACCAACUUGAUAUACCCAAUAUAGGUCAACAGAAAUAUAUCUUACUUUGGGCUGUCUUUUACCUUGGCAAACCAUACAGCUUCUAUUGACAACAAUUCUCUUCUUGAUUAAUCCUUGAGUACUCUUUUCAACCAGGCCUGGACCUCAGACUUCUGUAUCCAGUUUUAGCAAGAAUCCUGCUAAGUCAGUUUAUAGAGAACGCCCAACCCUUAAUAUCUAAUCAACUUCUUCGCCCCCUUCCCCUACCAACUCUUGAUGUCUCAGCCCUUGACCUGCCUUUAGCAAGAAGUCUGUUAGGCCAGUUUAGCAAGAAUUCCUGAUGUCCCCUCUUAGUAAUUUCCCACCUGUAAGGUCCUCGCUGUGUCCCUUGGCUAUAAACUCCCAGCUGUCUUUGCUGUAUUCAGAGUUGAGCCUGAUCUCUCAUCCCUACUAUAA